GUGUAUUAAGUUCAACAUUUUUCAAUUUUCUCUCUCACACUCUCUCAGUCUGUUUUGUCCUUUUCUUGCCUCUCUUUCUCCCCCACCUUUCUUUUCCACCAGCCUCUUACAUGGGUCUGUUAGCUCCUUACUUCUCACUUCUGGAGCUCAAAGUUCCCAUCUUUAUCCUCUGAUUCUCCCCCUUCUGCAUUUUGGCUCUAAGCUUCAGUCUUGGACGAAAACCCACUUCCUGAUUAUUCCCUUUACCACAAUUUCGGAGUUUAGAUUCAUAAGGUAGUGGAAGUUCUUACUGUGUUCUAUUGAUUUCUGUUAUCAGCCAAGGAAAAACCCCUGAAAACCCCAUCUUUAGUAGCCUUUCUUUCAUUUGACUGCGAAUCUGUAGCAUAGUUCCAAAGGUCUUGGUAUUAAUAAGAUUUACUGUCAUCAUAGUAAGCUCUUGAUUCAUUUUUGUUUCUCUUGAACCUUCUUUUGCUGUUGUUGUUUGAACUUGUAGUACUAUUGAGAUCUUUGUACUAUUCCCAUUAGUAAAUGCAUGGAUGGAAGAGAAGCUAUGGCAUUAUCUAGCGGGUCAAAUCCGUAUUACCUCCAGAGAGGGCCUAGUUAUGGUGGGUCUGGUGGGUACGGGUCACAGGCUGGUCCGUUGCAUCCCCCACCACAAUUCAGGAACUCUCCAAACCCAAAUUUCCAGAUUCAGAACAAUGCCAGCAGGCCUGGAUCAUCAUACUCAAUAGACCACGCAAAUGUGGUGAGUUCUUCUUCUGGUCAUGGCCAUGGAAUUGAUAUGAGUGCUCCCCCUCCUCACCCUCCUAUGAGUGAGCUGCCUGUGAAGAAGAAGAGAGGGAGGCCUAGGAAGUAUGCCCCAGAUGGCCAGGUCUCACUUGGCUUGUCUCCUUUGCUGAUAAAGCCUAAAAAAUCUUCUUCAGAAGGAGAUCCAAUGAGCCCUUCUAAACGUAGAGGACGGCCUCCCGGCACUGGGAGGAAGCAACGGCUGGCUGAUCUAGGUGAUUCUAUGUUAGAACUCAUUAUAUGAUAUGUUGAACUGUUGAUGUGAAUGUUGUUAGGAUGCUUUGCUAGGAGUUGAUAGUGUUAGGCUGUAUCAGAAUCCAUUGGAAUUUCCAGUACUGUGGUGUUUUUACCUUUUUAUACGUUAAUGAAGACUCUCUGCAAACUGAUAUAUGGGGUUUGAAUGAUAGUUAUUGAGCAUAAUGUUACUUAUAAUGUUGGUUUCAUCUUAUGAAAAUUGACAGUAGUAUUACUUUGUUACUUAAAGUGAAUCUUAUUAAUUGUAUGCUGAAUAUGAUAGGUGAAUGGAUGAAUAAAUCUGCCGGUCUGGCUUUUGCGCCACAUGUGGUCAGGAUUCUAGCUGGGGAGGUAUGUUAUAUCAUUCCAUAAUUUUCUUUCCUCUGCUGCAUCUAUGAACUUAUAUGUUAUCAUGAGUUGAAGAAUUUUAUAUUUUAUUGAUGGUUCCUAUCACUGGUUAGCUCCUGAGAUGGAAUGGAGUGUUCCUUUUUUGAAGCGGUUUAGUGUUAUUGUCAUGUUAGUGACCCUUGUUGUUUACCCAUCCGUGUCGAUCCAUUCUUGUUCAUGUGGCAUCAAAAUUUGGUUUCAUCCAUUGUAUAUGGAGUUUUACUUAGGUAACUUAUGCUAAUGUGGAUACUGAGUAAAUGCUUUCAUAAGUUUGUGCAUAUGUUCAGUAAUAAAUUGUCUAGAGGGGUUUCUUGACUAGUAAAGUUUUUAUCUUUUGCAGGAUAUUGUUGCUAAAAUACUGUCAUUUGCACAGCAGAGGCCUAGAGCUGUCUGUAUCUUGUCUGGCACUGGUACAGCUUCCUCUGUAACCUUGCGUCAACCAGCAUCUGCAGGGCCAACUGCUACAUAUGAGGUUAGAGCAUUCACAUUCCAUAUGCACUGUCUGUUUCAAUCUCUUGAAUCCUCAGCCUCAGUUGAUUCUUGAAGUAUUUUGAUUUAAAACUAAUCUGGUAGAGUCUGACAGAGCUAACAAUGUUGAAUUUCGAAAUGGUUCUUAGCUGUUGACAAUAAGACGUGUGACUGGCAUUCAAUUGUUGUCAUGAUUUUAUUCAUCUAGGCAUAAGAGGCUCACCCUUGGGAAUUUGUCUGUUGAAAACAGAUGAUUUAGCAUUGUGAUCAUCUAUGUUUUUACCUACAGUUACUUCUUUUAAUAAUUUUCCGGGACAACUCCAGUUUGAAGUCUAGUUGUGUGAUAGAUGUCUUUAUUGCAAAUGAGAAACUACAAAACAUGUUGGUCCGACUUUUUGGUUAGGUGAUUUCUUCAAGUGAUGCUGCAAGGUUAAUCUUAUCUAGUUUUCACGUCUUUGUUCCGAAUGAAAGAUCAAUGUGAUAUCAGUAAAGGAAAAAAUCAAAAUCAGAGUUUGAUUCUGUUUUCGUUUUCCUUGUUUGCACUCAUUACUCUCUUGAAUCUAUGGACUAACUUGGUAUAUAACUGGUGCAGGGCCGAUUCCAGAUACUGUGUUUGUCAGGUUCCUACUUGGUAGCCGAAGAUGGAGGUCCCCUUGACCGAACAGGUGGAAUGAGCGCUUCUCUUUCGACUCCUGAUGGUCAUAUCAUCGGUGGCGCAAUCGGUAUGCUUACUGCUGCAAGCCUAGUACAGGUAAUGUUACCAUUUCCAAAUUGUUGAAGAUAACUUGUAUAUCCCAUUCCUUAUUCUGUGAUCAUAACCAUUAACCAAGAACCUCACCCUCUUCUUAACUGAAAACUGCGGGUUCCAUCCAGGUGGUGAUAUGUAGUUUUGUAUAUGGUAGUACCAAGAAGCCAGAAAGACCAGUUGGACGACCCAAGAGCGAUAAAAGCCAACGCAGCAACGAGAAAUUAGCCAUUGCCGCCCCUGAUACCACUCCUCCAAGUACUGCAACGCACGAGCAUCAUUACACGCCUUCUCCGAUGGGGGUCUGGCCAGGCUCCCGGUCUGCCGAUCUGAGAAACAACCCCCACACGGGAAUUGACUUAACAAGAGGCUGACUGAUGAUGAUUUAUGACUGCUGCAGCAACAACAGCGACAUGGCAAUUUUUUGUACAGAAUGUGUUGUUGUACCUGUAGUUUAAAAAGGAAUCUCUUCCUUUCAGGUUAUGACCUCCCGGUUGUUCUAACCUAGUCUGUAACAAAAUGCCACCAUUUUUAUGUGCUCAUUAACAAUUUAGAUGUUAAUUUUUUUUAAAUUCUCCUCCAGUUUAGUGUUUACGGGUAUUAUUUGGAUCAGUCUCUGGUAGUUGCAAAGUCUGGUUUCUCUUACAUUUGUUUCCUUUAUAUAUCAUCUUAAAGCCAUAGCAUGUCUCAGACAGAACACAUAGGGAGAAAAAGAACAGAUCUGAUUGCAACUUGUUGGAGAUGCAGAACAAGUUAUAACCCCAAACUGGUCCUGGGAUUAUUAUAACAAUUAGGAACACUACAAUCCCUAUCCACUAACAAUUGUAAUACAAUGACUUUGGUCUAUAUAUAUAGCAUAGUGAUUUUCGUCUGCUUACCUCGAAGCUGGAGGGGAGGUACUGCCUUGAAGCGAGUACAAGCAAACUCCAUGAUUUGCUCGUUGCUGCCAGGCUCCUGAGAUCCAAACUGAUUGCAAGGGAAAGCCAAGAUCUGUAGACCUGCUCCAGCCAACAAGUGAAGAACUCUUGAGUUAUUAGUCAUCACAAACAUAGACCAUUGAGCUUAGACUGACAUCAAUAGAUUAUAGAGAGUUAUGGAUGCAUCCAAUUCAGAGUACCAUUUGCCAAAACAUUUGUGCACACAAGCCAAGGAUUGAAUGUACCCUUAUGUCACUAAUAAUGAAAAGGAUAAAUCACAAUCAAACAAACAGAAGGGAGGGCAAAGAGGAAAACCUUGAUCCUUAUAUUUCUUGUACAGCUCAGUCAGCUGAGUGUAGUUCGAAUUGGUCAAGCCACUGUAACAAAAUUUUAAAGACCAACCAAACAGUAAAACUUCAUGUUCCAUACAGCUUUCAAUCAACACAACUAACCCCUCAGUGAAGAAAUUACCAUUGGGAGGCGACAUUAACGAUCAAAAGGACCACCACACUUCCAAUAAGUAGAAAUUUUCAUCUUUUUUCUCAAAGAAAGAGGGAAAAGGUUUGAUUUUGUGAGGUUGGGAUGAAAGGGUUUUGGGUUGGAGAGUCUUGUGUGGGGCACAUUGGCAUUAGUCACAAAGUUGGGUGAUCUGAAAAAGGGACAUGUUUUAGUGACAAUGGUUUUGGUACUUGUCUCUAGGCCACCCACCAUUGCCCUAAAAAAGUUGUGUUCAAAUCCUAAGCCUUUGUGAAUAUUGUAGAUACAACUUCCAUAACUUUGUAUGAUGCUAAGUCUUAGCAUUAGUAGUGAAUUUUUCGGUUCAGAGCCUUUAUAUUAAGACAACCAUUUAUCUAUUAUAAUGAGAAAAAAUUCAUAAUAUGUCAUCUCACUAGUAAAAACACCUAGCUAUAAUUGUUUGCAAUUGGGAGGUUUUCGUAACAUAGUUUUUGAAAAAAUAAUCAUAUGACAAAUUAUAAUAAAUAAAGGUCCCAAUUUAAAACUAAAGAUGCAUAAAAAUUCGCUUAAAAUAUAAAGGUUUUCACCGAUGGAUGCUUUACAAUGUCAAGAAGAGUCUACACUAGUGGAUGCUCAAUAAAAGUUUUUUUUUAUAAAUUAUCAAAAUUAUAAAACAAGUUAUCAAACCUAAACUACGCAUAACGAAAAUGAAUAUUGAAAACCAAGCAAAACUCCUAUUAUUAUUGGCAUUCGACAUUCAUACUCUUUCAUUCCAUGCCUCUCUAGUCAAAAUAAGACAUCUCUUUCCCCAGCUUGCCACCACCACCACUACCACCCUCCACUCUCCUAGUAAGUCUCCUCACAGCUACAUUUCAACAAACCUAAAGGCCAACGGCAAAGCAAAGCCCUUUAAUAAGAGAGAGAAGAAAAACAAUUUACCAAACAUCUCCUUUUCUUCAAAAUUCAAAAAGCUCGGAAUAGAGAGAGUAGAUUAGAUUCAACAUUUUUCAAUUUCCUCUCUUUUCUCUCUCACUCUCUCAGUCUGUUUUGUCCUUUACUUGCCUCUCAGCCUCCCUGCUCUCCCCCACCUGCAGUUUACCUUCUUCUUCCUUCAAAACCCUAGAUUUCCUGCUUACAAAUCUAGGGUUUUGUUAACAGUACAUACAUGGGUCUGUUAGCUCCUUGCUUCUCACUUCUGGAGCUCAAAGUUCUCAUCUUUAUCCUCUGAUUCUCCCCCCUCUGCAUUUUGCCUCUCCAAGCUUCAGUCUUGGACGAAACCCCACUUCCUGAUUAUUCCCUUCCCCGCAAUUUCGGAGUUUAGAUUCAUAAGGUAGUAGAAGUUCAUACUGGGUUCUAUUGAUUUCUGUUAUCAGCCAAGGAAAAACCCCUGAAAAACCUCAUCUUUAGCUGCCUGUCUUUCAUUUGACUGCGAAUCUGUAACAUAGUUCCAAAGGUCUUGGUAUAUAAUAAGCUUUACUGUCAUCAUAGUAAGCUCUUGAUUCAUUUUUUGUUUCUCUUGAACCUUAUUUUGCUGUUGUUGUUUGAACUUGUAGUACUAUCGAGAUCUUUGUACUAUUCCCAUUAGUAAAUGCAUGGAUGGAAGAGAAGCUAUGGCAUUAUCUAGCGGGUCAAAUCCGUAUUACCUCCAGAGAGGGCCUAGUUAUGGUGGGUCUGGUGGGUACGGG
Molecule: long non-coding RNA, 5678 nt
Filed under: Linum usitatissimum (flax)
Lineage: Eukaryota; Viridiplantae; Streptophyta; Magnoliopsida; Malpighiales; Linaceae
Description: long non-coding RNA (LUSI_LNC007910)
Source: RNAcentral